RNAcentral lists this ribosomal RNA (253 nucleotides) under uncultured bacterium. RNAcentral's name for it is "partial 16S ribosomal RNA". It matches the Rfam family "Bacterial small subunit ribosomal RNA", at positions 524 to 776 of the family's 1533-position model. The record is from RNAcentral.
UACGUAGGGUGCAAGCGUUAAUCGGAAUUACUGGGCGUAAAGCGUGCGCAGGCGGCUUUGCAAGACAGAUGUGAAAUCCCCGGGCUUAACCUGGGAAUGGCAUUUGGGACUGCAAGGCUGGAGUGUGGCAGAGGAGACUGGAAUUCCCGGUGUAGCAGUGAAAUGCGUAGAUAUCGGGAGGAAUACCGAUGGCGAAGGCAGGUCUCUGGGCUGACACUGACGCUCAUGCACGAAAGCGUGGGGAGCAAACAGG